RNAcentral lists this long non-coding RNA (25885 nucleotides) under Lactuca sativa (garden lettuce). RNAcentral's name for it is "long non-coding RNA (LSAT_LNC003679)". Lineage: Eukaryota; Viridiplantae; Streptophyta; Magnoliopsida; Asterales; Asteraceae. The record is from RNAcentral.
AGUUUCCCAAGAAUUAAUAAUUUUUUUUCACAUCGCCGACACGCUUUUUGUGUGAUUGGACCAAAGGCUUCUCAAUAAAAUUAUCUCAAACUAUCCCCUUUCAUCUGUUCUAUAAUCUAUUAUUCAUCCUCCAUACAAAUUUUCUCCACAGAGUCUCCCGAUUCGAAUAUUCAAAAACAACAAGUCAACAACGAUGGGUGAUUUUGAUAAGCGGUUGAAGGAGAGAGCUAAGGAUCUCAAGAAGUUUUUCAGUAAGGGAUCGAAGAUCAUUAACUCCUGCAAAAAGGGCUGGCUCAAAAUCAAGCACCUUCGCAAAUGAUUUCUCUCUUCUGUUCCUCGGUACUCUGAUUAUGAAUAUGAUUGCUGUGUUUUUAACUUUUUAUUCUCGAGUUUAUAUUUGAUUGAUUUGCUCUCGAUGUAUCCUUAGUUCUGGAAGAUUUUGAAUGUUGUAGUUUGGGAUUUUAUUGGUCAAGCACGCUAGCUAGCAAAUUAAAUAUCAUCUCCAACUUCUUCUCUUGUGUUCAUUGGUUCUUCAUUGUUCAUGUUUAUGAUUUGAUCUAUAAUUUCUGAGUAAUUUGAUGUUGGAACUUAGUAAAUUUGAAUUUUAGAGUUUUAUUGGAGGCCUGCGAUCAUUCACACUCGGAAACCAUUUCGUCUUUCGGUUGUGGUUUUUGUGAUUUUGUUUCAGUUUAUAUUUUUGUCUAUCCUUCGUCAUGUAUUCAGCCAUUCGGGUUUUACCUGUUCGUUAAACAAAUUAAUUUUGGAUUAUGAUCAUAUAAAGGAUACGUAACACGAAUUCGAAUUUAUGAUCGAGAACUUCAAAUUGGGAUUAUGACCAACUCAUGAUAGAAAUAAAAUAAGUAAAAGUUAUUAUGAUAAAAAAUGGCCAUUAAAAAUAUGAAAUUAUCAUUUUAUAAUCAGCUUUAAAAUGAUCAUCUUGUCCAAAAUGAUGCAUUACGCAUUUAUUAUGUUUUGAUCAUAAUACCCUUUUAAAUUUGCAAGAGUACUUUGUAUAUAGAUACCCCCAAACCUUUUGCUGGAUCAUUUCUUCAAAACAUGGGUAGGGUCCCAAAGUUCUUCACUGAAAAUAAUUACGGUUUGAUUCUUUCAAUUGAAUGCUGAAUUCUUAGUUGACUAAUAGCUAAUAAGUUUGAUUUACCAAAUAUAUUUAAAUUGAAAAUUGUUUCUUUAUGAGAAACAAUUCAGCCUGUUGUUUUUGUUUUCUAUCGUUUAAUCGCUAAUUUGUCACUGCAUUAGUGCAUUUGAUUAUUAUAAUACUUUUGAGAGAAAUAUUGAUAUUAACAAGUUGGAGAAAUGCAUUUCUAUUUCCAUUUUAAGCAUGUUCUUGUAACCAAAGCCAUAAGCGAUAUAUUAAUACUUUAAUAGAGCCUAUGCAAAUCAAGAAAACAAUUAAAGAAAAUUCAAUAAGACAAUAAGUGAAUAAGACAAUAAGUGACUGGAGUUUGCUACAGACAAACUACUGAUAAAGUGAAGAGUCCAGGGGCUCUUUGUUUUUUUAAGAAAAAAACACUUUUGAUGCUUUUGGUUGCGCUGCAUAUCAUUUGUUCGUUGUUUAUUUUUAAAAAAUUUAUGACUUAAAAACUGUUAUGCUAAAAAAUUUCUGAGUUAAAAUCUGUUGUGCUAAUGCUAAUGCUAAUGUGACACAACAUUGGACCCUAAUCUUCAAACUACUUCUCAAUCUUACUUUAAGUUAUAUUAUUGGGAUAAUAAUUUGAAAGAGUGCGGACUUUUAAUUUUGUUCACAUUUAGUCACUAAGUUUUUUAAAAUUUUUGAUUUACCUCUGGGUUAUAAGGAUAAAAUGUGAAUAACUUCAAAUAAUUCAGAGUAAAUCAAACGUAGAAAGUUCAAUGACUAAAUAUAAAAGUUUAUUAACCUUUCAAGUCAUUAUCCCAUAAAUAAGUUCUUUUAUCUUGGUAAACCACAAUGUUAUGUUCUCUAUUUGAAGACUUCUUAAUAAAUUUCAUUAUAUUAUUUUAUAUGGGUGUAUGGUUUAACUUUUAAGAUUUAAAAAAUAUAUUUGCUUUCACGACAAGAUUUAAAGGCAUAACGAACGACAUAUGUCGUCGUUGAAGGUAUCAAGAGUAGCCGUAAUUACCUUUAAUGAUAACAUGCCGCAGUUAAUAUGUCAUUGAUAAUGCUUCAUUGGAACUUUCACGUACUUGUAUCUCUUGAUAUAGCUUGAAAUUGAUAUUUUGUAUAUAAUGCGCACAAGUAGUGUUGCGUUCACAACACUUCGUUGUAAAUAGCAUAACAGUUUGUAAUAUAUAUAAAAUACAAGAAUUAUUGUAAUAUGUAGUUGGAUAAAGGAUGUCACAUUAUAACAUAUAAAAUUGUAUUGUAAUAAUAAAUAGAAACAUAAAACAUGGAAUGAAUAAAGAAACUCUAGGUAAAAGUUUAUCUCAUGGACUAGGAUUAAAGCCAUGAACUAUAACAUGAUUAUGUGGUACAUAUUUUGUUUUGUAAUACUUCUUACAAACACAAACGUAGUUACUGAAAUCAAAAUUAUUAAUCUAAAUAAUUGCUACCAAUAGGAAAAAUAAACUACAGGAUGAUUACAAAAAUAGAUAUUCACUUAAAAAGGUAACAAACUUUGAACUUUAGAUAUUGACUUCCCACACAUAGCGAGUUCCUUAGUAUCCUCGUGACUUCCUUGACUUGAGUACGGAUCAUGUGAUUCUAGUAGUACAGGUUCAAUACUAUCUUCCACACCUAUCCGUACUUUUCUCAAAAGUCGUCCCGAUUCCCCUAAGUAACUCCCUAAAUUCCAACAUUCCACAAUCUCACUAAACCACACAUUUGCUAAUGCUAACAUGCUUCCUAGGUUAUCCUAGGAUUCCCUUCCCACCACUCUCCGCCAUCAGCUGCAGAAGAACCCCCACUAAUACCCGUUAGCUACCUUACGAAUAUAAUUACAUGCAACAAACACUAGAUAAUUCUUCGAUUGCAAGGUCCCACACUACAAUGGUUGGACUAAAACAAGAGUUGUGCAAUAGAGUUAAACCUAACCUUAUAAAAUUAUCUAAUUUCUGCAACAUGUAACCUAGCAUAUUCACUUAUAGUUAACUAGUAUUAGUAGUGACUCCUAAAAAUACAAAGCAAGCAACAUUCGAGGAUUGAGUUCUAACCAGAGCACUGCCUAACAGGACAUCUUAACAUGUCAUUACCAAUCCAUACUAGCAUGCAGUUAUAGAGGCUCAUACAAUAAGCAUACAGAGGGAUCUCUCCUAUCACACAAUUCCGAGCAGAUCCUUAGCCCUAAUCUAGCAUGCUAUUCAUAUAUUCACAUAUUGAAUCAAAAAACAUAUAUGGGUAUUUUGGAAACACUUACUUGAGCUUGGCCGAUUGCAUGAAUCACACCCAUUCUUUCUAGUAGUAAUUUUUUUAGAAAAUCAUUUCUUUUAUGAAAAACUUACCAAAUCCUCAGUGUGAGUUCAAACACACCCGAGAGUGUGUCCGAAUCCCUCAUACCAACUUGUAACAUCCCAAAAAUAAUAAGUAAAAUUUUCGUUUUUAUGUCAACCAAAAUAGUCAAUAUUCAUAUAAAACCAUCAAAAGUAUGUUAGUAUGAAAAUACUUAUCAUAGUGUAAUCCCAAAAUCAUAAAAAUGCUAGACACGGGUGGAUACACUGCGAUCAGGCCGAGCUCUUCCCUAUCGAACCGGAAGUACCUGAACAUAAAAUUAAACCGUAAGCACAAAGCUUAAUGAGUUCCCCAAAAUACCAUAUACCAUACAAUUAAUGGGCCUCACCCAAUGAGUAUAAUGGGCCUCGCCCUAACUCGUAUAACGGGCCCCGCCCAAUGAGUAUAACAAGCCUUACCCUAACUCGCACAACGACCCUGUCCUAACAUAUAAAACAUGCAAGUAUCACACAUACAACUAGCAUCCUACAAACAUAAUCUAGUGGGCCGACAUUGGUGCCUUCAACACAUGAGUAUAGUGAAAAGACUCACCUCAGUCUGAUGAUAUACAGCCACACACACAAGGUGAUGCUACAAUGGCUCGUCGCACUGAAUACAUUCAAACCAACCCUAACCACUAUUUAGGGUAAUAACCCACAUUUAAAGGCACAGAUCAUAAUCCUUCUUACAAAGGGUAAAAUAACCUUUUACCCUUCCUACUCUGGGCCCAAAUAACCAUGACCCAAGGCCAAAACUGGCCCAAGGCCCAAAGGGUUUCAGGUGAGUACGUUGUGCGUACACCCUAUGUACGUACAUCUUCUUCACCAAAUGGAAACAUGGCUAAACCCGUUACACCGAGCGUACCAGAAGGGUACGACCAACGUACUUGUCAGAAGUCCAAAAAUUGCUAUUAAGCUCUUAAUGCUUAAAGAGCUUUCAUCCAACUCAAAUAUCUCAACCUAAGGGACAUAUUUAUUGAUAAAGUCGACAACUUGAUGCCUUUUCAUGGCUUAAUAAGGCACAAAUCCAAACCCUAAGUCCAAAGUACACUCUAAUGACCAAAAUCACAUGCAUGGAUGAAUGGGAGUGUCCAAGCUCCCAUUUUUAUGACUUCACUAAGUCAAAGAUGACAAGAAAUGACACGCAUUACGUUUAGAGUAACCUAUUCCUCAAAAGUCCAAAUCUUGGGACCAAAAGCAUAACAUAACAUGGACCAAUUCUAGAUCUAGAAAAAAAACAUAAAGGUAUAAGUGAUGGGUUUCGAGCAAUACAUCAAUCCUAUGGUGUACAUGCAAACCCUAAUAGCUUUUAGAUCUAGUUUGUCUAAUGAACAUGCAAUUGAAUAUCCAAGGCUAUAAACCCUAGAUCUAGCAUAUAAUUAAUCAUAUUAACAUAAAAUAGGGUUUAGAUCUGACCUUUGAUUGUUAUAUAGCAAUAACAAUCAAUUCUUAGCUUCAGAAAGCUUAGUGCCUCAAGUGUUGCACCUCUAAUGAAAUCAAAAACACCACUAAGCAACAAGAAUGAAGAGGAAAGAGAGGGGAGGCACCAAAAAUGGCUGGAAACCCUAAUCCAAGUGUUAGCACCGUUUUUGGUGCAUAGAGGGCCUUUAUAUACAUGUAGGCUAUUAGGGUUUACAACUAGGAAACCCUAAUCUGGCUGCUUAAUCCCUAAGCAGCCCAUGGACUCCUUUAACAUAUCCCUUGGACGAAUUCUUAAUGGGCUUCCCAUAGAAUUCUUCCAACCUAUAUUAUUUAGGUAAUCCAUAGCCCAAUUGCAAUUAUCUUAUAAUUACAAAUCCAGUCCCCUAAGUUUAAUUAAUCUCUUUUAGCCACACAAUUAAUUAUCAAUUAAUUCUUGACUAAUAUUAAUUAAACAAUAUGAUUUCUCCUUUAAUAUAUUAUUAUUAUAAUAUAUUAAUAAAUCACAAUUAAACCUUUCCCUCCUUAAUUCAGCCUACAUAUUGCUAUGGUGAAGGCAACCCAAAAGGACCAUGCUCAUAAUCGGGUCAAGUACAUACCAAAAUAGUUAUGGACUUAGACACUAAUCCAACAGUCUCCCAUUUGGAUAAGUCUAAUAACUAUUUUCCGUAUGAGUUCAGACCCUGAUCAGCAAUCAUAGCUUUCAAAAGCCGUUGUCAACUCUGAUCUUAUCAGAUACGCGUGUCCUUUAGAUAAGGGAUCAUAUAUUCCUCCAUUCUCAAGAUAUCGUAUAGACACAAGACAUGAAUUCCGAUCAUUCUCUCUAUACUGUUUACCGACUUCAGAUUUAUGACGACUGACAACAGACUACAAUUGAACACAUCAACUUAGUCCCGACUUGGCCAAGCGCUUAGGUGUCAUCACUAAAUCAUCGAAGGGCCCAUAGAUAUCGCUUUUAUCCCACUUUGGGCAAAAGGAAUGGAUCAACUUCGACUCAAAUGCUUGCUUGCAAUUACUAAUCGAAUCACACACAAUAAUAAGUUUUAUAACACCAAGUUACUGGUGCGUUUACUUAUUAUAAAUGUGCAACCGACCAACAAAAAACAACUCAUACAUCUCGGUUACAAGAAUAUACAAUAUUAUUGACUCACAAUCACUUGUGAUAAAAUCCAUAAAGUGAUUCUCGUGAGCGUGGGUUUAAUCCAAUACUGUAAUCUUAUCAAAGCACUCAUGAACUCUGCAGCAAACUUGUGCUAUGUCUAAACACUCUAGACAAUCUACAGACUCUUCAUGACAGUCUUGCUUCAUACCUACUUCCAAAGUAUGACCGACUGUGGAGGUUUGAAUAACCAAGUUAUUCUGGAAGUCAAAACAUGCAAAAUUUAAACACAAUAAUAAUACUUAAUCCUAUAUGGCCCCAAACUUGUGAGAGUAAAUAAAACACUUCUAUUUAACCACCAUAUUGAUUACUCAUUAUUUAUCCUUUACUGUUUCAGAAAAUCAACUUAUUACUCAAAUUACAACAAUAGCUAUCCCAUGCACAAAGCAUGCACACUAUGUUUCCUAUGGUCCUUACUUUGUAAAAUAGAGAAAUUGAAAAACUUUUCCAAUGAUGCUCAUUUCACAAUUCCCAAUCCUUAUCAUUAGUGUUAGAACACAGGUUCUUGCCACUACUAGAAUAUGAUAAAUUCUAACAUUUUAUGCAACGAUCCUUUCGCAAAAUCAUAGCACAAAAGUCACCAAGACCUAGCCAAUGAAAUUACAAAGUACUCUAUCGGAAAUUGUUACAAGACAAUUCCAUAGACGUGAAGUCUCACAUUCAAAGAAAAUUCCUUUGAACAUCCUUCUUGCAUAAAGUUUUCUAAUCUAGACAUAGACUCUCAAUUUCCAACUCCCAAUAUGGAAACAUUUCCAUAUUUCCAUAUGACAACUCAUUCUUAAUAGAAUCUUAUCUAUUCAUAAUAAUGUCGAUAUGGUCCAUCCAAUACCAUACUUCCAAUUACUCACAAGCGACCAAUCCUCAGCGAACUUUGGAUCAUCCUUUGAUAGUUGUUUAAUUAUUUUAGUCAAAACCGAUUCUAGUUCUUUUUCCCUCUUAAUGUGCUAGACAUUUGGAAAAUUUUUGAAUGGUCAAAUAUUAUAGCAUUUGCAAUCGAUCCUAUACCCGAAGCGUAUGGGACACGAUGCAUAAAGUCUUACAUAAAUAUAUGAUACUUUAUCAAUCUUCUGCCAUAAUAUUUUUGUGUCACGUUCUCACAAUUCGAACUAUGAAGAGGGAUUCCGUAAUCAUAAUCGAAAUUUAAGAACACACUAUGUAUCCUUUGACUAAAUUUAUUAAAAUUUCUCAAUCUAAGCUUUAGAUUUUGAAACGAACUAUAAUAUUCUUUCCCUUAAUUAUAGCAAAAACAAAUUUUCAACCAAUGCAACUUUGCAAAUUGAAUCUUGUUUUUUCUAUAAUUAAUAUUGCUAACUUGAAAUACUUGCCAUAAUAAUCAUAAAAACAUAACACUUAUGCUCCCACUGUCAUGAUGAUUAUUAUCAUAUAAGCAUAACACUUAUGCUCCCACUAGCUUUUAUAACAUCCCAGAAUUCAGAAGUAAAGUGGAAGGGCUAAAGGUGUAAAUAAGAAGGUCGACUCGGCGAGUCGAUGGAUGGACUCGGCGAGUCUAGUCGCGUUACGUUUCGCGUGUUAAGUGACCAACUCGGCGAGUCACAUGGGUAGACUCGGCGAGUUGGUGCUGUGUGGAGAAAACCCUAAUCCCAGGGGUUCAGCCCUAUAUAAAGAACAUAAUACCCUCUCCCCAGCCUCUUUACUCUCCCCUAAAGUCCAGAAACCCUAACAUUCGUUUGUGAGAGAAUUAGAGAGCAUUUGGACCUUGAAGGAGCGUUUGUUAAAGAGAUCCUUGAAGAUUAAGAGGCUUGGAGCAAGGGGCUUUGCAAGGUUUUGGCUUAUUCUUCUGUUGGAGUCUUCUCUUGAGGUAAUGAUUCGUUGCUUGAGCUGUUAUCCAUCUAGAUCUAUCAUUUGUGGGAUUUUUGGGAGUAUAUCUAGUGCUAUCUUGAGCUUGGAGGUUGGAUCUGAGGUUGCUACCUCAGAUCUAGUGUAGUGAUGAUCCAAAGGAGCAUAAAGUCCCUGUUGAAGAGUUGUUGAUGAAGCCUUUUAGUCCCAAACCCUAGCCCUAGAGUCUAUUAUGCUUAGAUCUCCUUGGAUUCACGUAAAGUUUGCCACUUUACAUGUUGGAUGGCUUGUAGAAGAGUAGAUCUAUGGAUUUGAGACCCUGCAUGGCUUGAAAAGCCUCUAUAUGGGUUAAGAGCUAGUGGUACUCGGCGAGUCACAUGGGUGUACUCGGCGAGUUGCUUGAAGAUAGGCAGCAACUCGACGAGUUGGAAGAACAACUCGGUGAGUUGGUUGAAGAUAGCCUUGGACUUGGCGAGUCUGUUCUUGGACUCGGCGAGUCUGGUCGUGAGGUCCUAACCUUUCCUGGUUGAGCUGUGAAUCGGUGAGUCAAGGGACGACUCGGUGAGUUGAGCAGGAAGUGACUCAGAGUUCGUGGGACUCGGCGAGUCUUGGGGCGACUCGGCGAGUUGGGUCGCGAUAUGGGAAUUUUCAGAGUUGAGGGACUCGACGAGUCAGCGGGCUGACUCAGCGAGUAGGGUCAGUCAGGAAGUUUGACUUUGACUGAGGACUUUGACUUUGACCAAGAGUUGACCGGUUGACUUCCAGGGUAAUUUGGUAAUUAUUGGUAUUUAUUGAGUUCAGUCUUUUGGUAUUGUCAGUGGUGGAGUUCGUGUUAGAGGUUGGAGCAGCGUGAUCUUAUCUUUUCAGUCAGCAGUUGCGAGGUGAGUUAUCCUCACUAUAUCAACAUGGUCUAAGGCACCAAGGCCGACCCUUUAUCGGAUUGUUAUGUUAUUGCUUUGCUAUGUUUGCAUCCUGGUAGUUAGGAUGGUAUAUGCUAGUAACUGGUUAGGUCGGUAUCCUGGUUAGGGUGAUGUGAUGUUAUGUGAUCUGCUAGAUCGGUUUGAUUGGAUGCGAAUUAUUAUAUGAUUGUAUGUCUAUGUGCAAAUGGUUGAUGUACUGUGGGUUGGGUUGAGGCGGGUCCUGCUUUGUGUUGUAGGCUAACAUACCCAGGGCGGACCGGUUAACCCGAAGGCCCAACGAGUGGUCUGGAUAGGUUGUAGGCCCGCGGGGGCGGACCAGACGUGCCGAGGCUCGGAGAGUGGACCAGGCCGACUGAAGGCCCGGUGCGGGCGGACCAGUCAUACUGUAGACUCAGAGAGUGGACCAGGUAGGUUGAAGGCCCGGUGCGGGCGGACCAACCACACUGCAGACUCGAUGGAUAUGGCUAGACUCGGAGGGUGGACCAGGUGGACUGAAGGCCCGGUAGGGCGGACCAGUCACACAGUAGACCUGAAGUGCAUGGCUGUUCUGUUCGGUUAUGAUAUGUUAUGCGUGGUAUAUGUGGUUGGUAUUUUGGGGGUAUCUCACUAAGCUUUCAGGCUUACAGUUGUGGUUUAAUGUUUUUCAGGUACUUCAGAAGACCGUGGCAAGGCGAAGGCGUGAUCGUACCGCUCCUCAUUUUUAUGUUUUACAAUAUGGUUCUUGGAAGACUCUGAUUAUAAUUGUAUUGAAAACCUUUUUGUAAUGACUUAACGAAACUGGGUUGUUUGUGAAAAGUUUAAAUUGGCUUGAAUUUUUAGAGUGUUACAAGUUGGUAUCAGAGCCUUGGUUUGAGUGAAUUGGAGGAACAUUCGUGUGAAUCCAGUCUCAAAUCAAGGAGAGUUUUCAAAAUGAGUAAAAGAGGACGUGGAGGUACGAUCAGCCGGAGCCAGUAAGUAGCCCCAAAAUACCAUGCAAGUUAUUUGUUUAUGUGAUAUGAUAGAACAGCAUGCUAGUACUAGGCUAGGGAUCUUCAGGAAUUGCAUGAUAGUGUUGCCUGAUUUGUGAUGCCUGCUAGCCUAGGGUUUCUUUCUGUAUGAGAUUUCAAGUGUUCCUCUAGGAGUGGGGGUUGAGUGCUUGGUAUGUCUGUUCUUCACUAGGGUGUUGUGGUGAUACUUGGUAUAAAUAUGGGUAGGUGUGGAAGGUAGUAUGGGCCCAUUCUAUUGAAAGCAUAGGACCCAUACGCAUAUCAAGGAAGUCACAACCCCUAGGGCGGUGUUGAGAGUCGGUUCCUGGGUUAGUGGGAGGUAUCUGAUGUUUGCGGUAUUUUCUUUCAGUAUGGUGGUUACGAGGCAUGCUGGGAGCGGAUCUGGAUCAGGAUCGGGAGCAGGAGAGGGCGGUCAGGGUGUGUCAGAACCACCCGAGGUUAUCGGUCAGAUGAGCACAUACGAGUUGGAUGCUAGGAUUCGUGAGAUCCUGCAUGAUGAGGUUGCUGCGAUGUUCCGGGCUGAGUUGCUGGAACUGUUUGGGUCGAUCAAGACCGCUAUGGUUGAGUAUUUUGAUGAGCGUUAUGCAGAUCUUACAGAGACGGCUGCCGCGGUAGCUACAACGGCUGGGGGGGGGGGCGGUNNNNNNNNNNNNNNNAACGGCAGGGGGAGGAGCCGUUAGAGGUUUUCAGUAUCGGGACUUCGAUAAUACGAAGCCACCUACCUUCGAUGGAGUUCAGGACUCGAUUUUUGCUAUGAGAUGGUUAUCAGACGUGGAGGGGUGUUUCUUCACGUGCUCAUGCCCUGCUGAUCAGAGGGUGAGGUGUGCUCUGAACCUUUUGAGGCUCGGGGCGAAGGAUUGGUGGAGGUUGACCACGGGAUCGUAUUCUGAUGCGCAGCGAGCUGCGGUUUCUUGGGAUCAAUUCAGAGAGAUGUUCAGUACUUGCUAUGUUCCGCGAGUUGAGAGGGAGAGAUUAGCUCAUGAGUUCCUGGAGCUGAAGCAGGAUUCCGAGUCGGUGACGGAGAUCACCAGGAUGUUCACUGAGAGGGCGAUGUUUUGCCCUGAGUUUGUUUUUGAGCAGGCCCAGAUGACCCGAUAUCUGAGUAUGCUGAAGAGGGAUAUCAGGCAGUUUGUGUCUAUGCAGAGGUGCGAGACAUUGUUGGAGUUGCAGGAAGCCGAUAGGCGGCGCGAGUUAGAGAUCGAGUUGCAAUUGAGAGAACAGAGGCAGGCUUCGGUACAGUCGCAACCGGCGCCGAAAAGGUCUAAGACCAUUGAUUUCAGUUUGAGAAGUCAGAGCAACCACACUUGUGAGAAGUGAGGGAAGGGUCAUGUCGGAGCUUGUAGGUCCGGUGGUGCAUGCCGCAAGUGCGGGAGAGAGGGGCACUACGCGAGGGAUUGUUGUCAGUCAGCCCCAACCCAGGAUAUGAGGAUUUGCUAUCAGUGUCAUCAGGUUGGUCACAUGAUGGCCAACUGUCCACGGCUGGUUGGGAGGUCGGUGCGGGCUCUAGCAGCGGCCACAUUGAGGAUUAUGGGUGGAGGUCAGGGUGGAGCAGAGUCUCCGAGGGCUCAGGGUCGUGCUUUUCAGCUUACAGCAGAGGAGGUCAGGGCAGUGCCGGAUGCAGCUGCGGGUAUGUUUCCUUUUUGAUAUUAUGUUAUCUUGUGAUUAUUAUGGAGUAUUGUAUAUCUGCUAGUCUCGUUGUGUGAUUUUUGGUAUUUUAUUUGUUGUUCCUUGAGGGUUAUGGUAUGGUUAAGGGUUUUGGUAUUGGGAGUUUCGUUGGUCAUCAUCCAUGGGGAUUAUUAGUGGGAAAUCAGGCUUUUGGUGGGAAUGUCGGGUAGCAUCUGCAGUCUGAUGAGUGGUUAGCUGAAGGUCGGGCUUCUUUCAAGUCCGAGAUGAUCAGUGUUGAUAUGUGAUUUUGUGAAGGUUGUUCGUUCUAGUGGGAAUCAGUUUGCGUGUAAGGGAAUGUGUUGUGUAAGGAUGUUAAGGGAGGUCGGUUAUGGCGACUAGUGGUUGAUAGUCCGAGCUCUAGGUGGGGGAGAAUUGGAAAAUUCUCCAGAAGAUCAACAAGCAUGAGAGGUUGAUUAGCUGUCUGGGAUUCAACAGCGGUUCUGUUAGCCAAGAGCGUAGGCUGGUAUGAGCAAGUGACAAGAAAGCGGGGCGGGAUGCAGACCAAGGGUUUUGUAAAAAGGGCGAUUGAUUGUUGAAGGCCUGGGAUCAGGCCGGGAUUGAGUAUGUAGGAUGGAGUUAGAGUUCGGAACCCAUAGAGGGCGAGAACAAUAUGCAUGGGAGAGUUUUCCAAAGGGAUAAUUCGGGAUGAUAAAUGCUAGUCGAGCGGUCCGGACAGACUGAAGGCCGGUGGGCGUACCAGUCAGGCCGAAGGCUCGGGGACGGUCCAGACAGGCUGAAGGCCCUGGAGGGCGGUCCAGAUAUGCUGAAGGUUCUGAGAGUGGUCCAGAUUGGCUGAAGGCCUGGUAAGGUGGUCCAGUCAUGCUGAAGACUCUACAUGUGUUGAUAGUUCUAUAUGAGGAGAUGGAAUGAGUAUGUUGCGAUGUGAUAGCAUCAGAAGGUCUGGCCCCGGGUAUUGAUCAUGAUUAGUGGAAGGUAGUGCAUGGACUCAAGAGUCCUUGCGAACAGAUUCAGAGCAUGUGUGGUGCAUGGGAUAGCGGUUAUGCUAUAAGGGAAUGGUGUAGCGUUGGGCGAGCACCGUGGCACUUGUUGUAGUGACAAGGCAGCCAAGUAGAUUUCCUUGGAUAAGGAAAGGGAAAGGUAUGUAGCUCCGAGAGGGAGUGUAAGUUCUCGGAAGCGAAAGCAGUAGCGCGGAGGUAUGAUUGAGGUGUUCCAAUCAUGGUUAUUGAGUAGUGUGUUUGCGCCGGUGGUAUGGAAUCACAUCCGGGUUGGAUGUCUGCGGAGGUCACGGAAGGAGUUCCGAAGGUGUAGAGCCAAAGAGACUCAGAUGGGAUGCAAGGAUGGAGCCUUGGAUUCCCAGUUUGGUGUGAUCAAGAUAUUAUGCAUGUAGCGGUAAUUCAUCCUGGGGGGAUGUUUGGAGGUGUCGUCAGUGCGUCGGGUUUUCCCAACCCGAGAAUACUAGAGCUAGUUCAACAUGUGUAUGUGAUGGCGGAGAAGAACUCAUGGGAGUUGCUCUAAAGCUGAAGGAUGCGUCAUCCUGUCAGCAUGGAAGGGAUAAAGUUGGACUCAGAAAGGGAGCAGGUUAAGUCUCAGUAGUGAAUUCGGUGAAGGAUAUGUUUGAUGAGGAAAAUGAUAGUAGUGCGGUACCGGGUCGGGAUCUCGGUGGUUCAAGGCUAUAUCUAGCUCGUAAGAGUCAAGUGAUUGUUGUGAUCUGGAACGAGUAAUGUACCAUGGAGUGGUACUUGGUUGAUAAGUGUGGUUAUCAGAGGAUGAAGUCGGUGGCCGGCUUGAGGCGGGGGUCAGGACACCGCAAGGGAUGAAUUGGGUUUCGGGUUUCGAUGGUAGUGUUUUGAGGAACCUGGUUUGGUUAAUGCCAGGUGGUCCAUUGCGAGAAUAGUUUCUGGAGUUGUGUUGCCGCAGGCUUCGAGGACGAAGCCUAAUUUAAGUGGGGGAGAAUUGUAACAUCCCAGAAUUCAGAAGUAAAGUGGAAGGGCUAAAGGUGUAAAUAAUAAGGUCGACUCGGUGAGUCGAGUCGCGUUACGGGUCGCGUGUUAAGUGACCAACUCGGCGAGUUGGUGCUGUGUGGAGAAAACCCUAAUCCUGGGGGUUGAGCCAUAUUUAAAGAACAUAAUACCCUCUCCCCAGCCUCUUUACUCUCCCUUGAAGUCCAGAAACCCUAACAUUCGUUUGUGAGAGAAUUAGAGAGCAUUUGGACCUUGAAGGAGUGUUUGUUGAAGAGAUCCUUGAAGAUUAAGAGGCUUGGAGCAAGGGGCUUUGCAAGGCUUUGGCUUAUUCUUCUGUUGGAGUCUUCUCUUGAGGUAAUGAUUCGUUGCUUGAGCUGUUAUCCAUCUAGAUCUAUCAUUUGUGGGAUUUUUGGGAGUAUAUCUAGUGCUAUCUUGAGCUUGGAGGUUGGAUCUGAGGUUGCUACCUCAGAUCUAGUGUAGUGAUGAUCCAAAGGAGCAUAAAGUCUCUGUUGAAGAGUUGUUGAUGAAGCGUUUUAGUCCCAAACCCUAGCCCUAGAGUAUAUUAUGCUUAGAUCUGCUUGGAUUCACGUAAAGUUUGCCGCUUUACAUGUUGGAUGGCUUGUAGAAGAGUAGAUCUAUUGAUUUGAGACCCUGCAUGGCUUGGAAAGCCUCUGUAUGGGUUAAGAGCUAGUGGUACUUAGCGAGUCACAUGGGUGUACUCGACGAGUUGCUUGAAGAUAGGCAGCAACUCGACGAGUUGGUUGAAGAUAGCCUUGGACUCGGCGAGUCUGGUCGUGAGGUCCUAACCUUUCCUGGUUGAGUUGUGAAUCGUUGAUUCAAGGGAUGACUCAGUGAGUUGAGUGUGAUUAGAUUCAGAGUUGUAGGACUCGACGACUCUUAGGGAGACUCGGCGAGUUGAUUCGUGUUAUGGGAGUUUAGAGNAGGGACUCGGCGAGUCAGCGGGCUGACUCGGCGAGUAGGGUCAGUCAGGAAGUUUGACUUUGACUGAGGACUUUGACUUUGACCAAGAGUUGACCAGUUGACUUCCAGGUGUAAUUUGGUAAUUAUUGGUAUUUAUUGAGUUCGAUCUUUUGGUAUUGUUAGUGGUGGAGUUCGUGUCAGAGGUUGGAGCAGCGUGAUCUUAUCUUUUCAGUCAGCAGUUUCGAGGUGAGUUAUCCUCACUAUAUCAACAUGGUCUAAGGCACCAAGGCCGGCCCUUUAUCGGAUUGUAAUCCGGGUAUCGUUGUUAUGUUAUUGCUUUGCUAUGUUUGCAUCCUGGUAGUUAGGAUGGUAUAUGCUAGUAACUGGUUAGGUCGGUAUCCUGGUUAGGGUGAUGUGAUGUUAUGUGAUCUGCUAGAUCGGUUUGAUUGGAUGCGAAUUGUUAUAUGAUUGUAUGUCUAUUUGCACAUGGUUGUUGUACUGGGGUUGGGUUGAGUCGGGUCCUGCUUUGUGCUAUAGGCCAACAUACCCAGGGCGGACCGGUUAACCCAAAGGCCCAACGAGUGGUCCGGAUAGGCUGUAGNAGGGCGGACCAGACGUGCCGAGGCUCAGAGAGUGGACCAGGCCGACUGAAGGCCCGGUGCGGGCGGACCAGUCAUACUGUAGACUCAGAGAGUGGACCAGGUAGGUUGAAGGCCCGGUGCGGGCGGACCAACCACACUGCAGACUCGAUGGAUAUGGCUAGACUCGGAGGGUGGACCAGGUGGACUGAAGGCCCGGUAGGGCGGACCAGUCACACAGUAGACCUGAAGUGCAUGGCUGUUCUGUUCGGUUAUGAUAUGUUAUGCGUGGUAUAUGUGGUUGGUAUUUUGGGGGUAUCUCACUAAGCUUUCGGGCUUACAGUUGUGGUUUAAUGUUUUCAGGUACUUCAGGAGACCGUGGCAAGGCAAAGGCGUGAUCGUACCGCUCCUCAUGUUUAUGUUUUAUGAUAUGGUUCUGGGAAGACUCUGAUUAUAAUUGUAUUGAAAACCUUUUUGUAAUGACUUAACGAAACUGGGUUGUUUUUGAAAAGUUUAAAUUGGCUUGAAUUUUUAGAGUGUUACAAGUUGGUAUCAGAGCCUUGGUUUGAGUGAAUUGGAGGAACAUUCGUGUGAAUCCAGUCUCAAAUCAAGGAGAGUUUUCAAAAGAGAAUUUAAAAUGGUUUUCAAAAUGAGUAAAAGAGGACGCGGAGGUACAAUCAACCGGAGCCAGUAAGUAGCCCCAAAAUACCAUGCAAGUUAUUUGUUUAUGUGAUAUGAUAGAACAACAUGCUAGUACUAGGCUAGGGAUCUUCAGGAAUUGCAUGAUAGUGUUGCCUGAUUUGUGAUGCCUGCUAGCCAAGGGUUUCUUUCUGUAUGAGAUUUCCAGUGUUCUCUAGGAGUGAGGGUUGAGUUCUUGGUAUGCAUGUUCUUCACUAGGGUAUUGUGGUGAUACUUGGUAUAAAUAUGGGUAGGUGUGGGAGGUAGUAUGGGCCCGUACUACUGAAAGCACAGGACCCAUAUGCGUAUCAAGGAAGUCACAACCCCUACGACGGUGUUGAGAGUCGGUUCCCGGGUUAGUGGGAGGUAUCUGAUGUUUGCGGUAUUUUCUUUCAGUAUGGUGGUUAGCAUGCUGGGAGUGGAUCCGAAUCAGGAUCGGGAGCAGGAGAGGGCGGUCAGGGUGGGUCAGCACCACCCGAGGUUAUUGUUCAGAUGAGCACAGACGAGUUGGAUGCUAGGAUUCGUGAGAUCCUCCAUGAUGAGGUUGCUGCGAUGUUCCGGAAAACAAUGCCUAUUGAAUUUUUGAAGUUCAUAUUUCUAAUACCAGAUGCUUUGAUAAGCCUUUAUCUAAGCUUCUUAAACUUAUGCACCUUUGCCUUAGAUAGCUCAUAUGUGUGUCUAAACAAUUCAGAAUUUAUAUCAAUAAGUCCUAAAUGUUAGAUUAAUUGCCAAAUCUUACAAUUCAAACUAUGGAAAGGGAUGCCGUAACAACAAUCGAAUUUGAGAAUACAAUUUUCACAAUUGCUAUCUUCUUAAAAUCUUUCUUAGUGAAAGCAUUUCCUCACAGUCAUUUUCAUGAAAGAGGGAAUCUUAUGACACUUAGAUUUUAUUGUGUAUGAGUUUCUAUCCAUAUGAAUUUGCUAAAACCAAGUUUGCGACAAAUCUAAACUCAUAUGGAUAUAACUUUCUUGAUUUCUAGCCUUAUGGUAACACGAGUGCCCACCAUGUCUUCCAAGUAGUUUAGCAACUUAUCCUUACAUAUCGGUGUACUUUCCAUCGAUCAAGUCGCUUUGUCUUUAUGCAUUCAAAUGAGAACUCAUAGAACUCACAUACAUAAUUAACUCAAUUGGAAUGACAUAGAAACAAAAUAAUGUCAACACGAUAGGUUGUAAACCUGAAGUCGUGUGCUAGUGAUGAUCGAUAAGGUUUAUUCUUGAUUUGUUCUUGAAACUUUUUCAAGAUCAUUAAAACUCCCACUAACCUCUUGACAUAUAUCAUUCUCUUGUCAGGAAACUUUCCUAGACAAAACAAAUAUUCAAGAGUUACUGUAGUUCUUAUCAUGACAAAAUACUUCACAUAAUUGGUUCUAGUUGGUCUUUGUCUUAUCCAAGACAACACAGCUUACCAAUUCCAAUUGUGCAAGAAUAAGAAAACUUUUCCAAAUUCCACAUUUGUUGAGUGUUAUAAACCUACUAAAGACAUGUCACUCAAUUCUCAAUCUUGGAGUAUGACUCUAAGAUUCGAUAUUGGAACGAAGUAUGAUUGACUUCUUGACUUAACCAUUUCCACAAUUCCUGAUUCCUCUUCUUAGACAUACAAAUGUACUAAGACUCACUUAGAUGACCAAUUGAGAUAUGGUUCUUAAUCAUUAAGACUUUAUCAUAAAACACAAUAAAAGGUACUCUCCAUUCUUCUUAGAAUAGAGAAACUUUUAUCUUUCUGCCUACUUGAUUCUUCUUAUUCAUUUUGGUAUUUAUUGAAACCUUUCCAAUCAACUCAGAAUUACACUUAAUGUUAUAAGUAUAAUCAUAUUUACUAAAAUUUAGUAAAUCAUGACGAAUAUCUUAGUCACUAUUGUGGUGGACUUGAUUGAUGCACAACAUUGCGAACUCGAUCUCCUAGUCCUUCACUUGACUCUUUGUCAACGAAUUAGUGUAAUUUCCAAAUAUGAAAUUUCUCAUUCAUCACGCAACCAAGUUGUAUGAUUCCAAGUUUCUGUCCAAUUGAAACUUGGGCGAUGAGAAAUUCUCCCUAUUUGGUAAAUUCUCGACAUUUCCACAAAUAACAUAAUUAAGAAUCAAAUCCAUUAUUGCUAAUAAUAGAAACUUUCAAACAUCAAUUUUUCAUACACGUCAUUGCAAGGAUAAAUAAAUAAGAUAAAUUCAAAAUUUAUUUUAUUGCGGAAAAAAUUUGUCCUUACAAUGCAAUUCAAUUGAAAAACUAUGUUAUUACAUAUUUCUCAGCAAUCUAUUCUAACUCCAAGUAGUAGCUCAAGAAUCCAAUCUUCAAGCAAUGCGAUCAAAAUCCAUUUCUUCAUGAUUAGAUUCAACUCACUUCUUCCCUUAAGCUUCCUCUCUUUUCUUCGAUCCUACAAAACAUCAAGAUGUAAUCUUAUCACAUCAUGUAUUAAGAAUCUAGAAUAGGAACUUAAAAGAGUUAGAUAAUGGAUUUCACCUGAAGUAUAGCCAUACGUCUUGACUCUCCCAUCUCUUAGAUCUCUCAGGUAAAUAGGGAAGCUUCGUCUCCAAUGCCCCUUCUCUUGGCAAUAAAAGCAAAUGGACUCUUUUGGAAUGACACAAGGAACUAUCUCAGAGUUUACCUUUUCUGGAUAUUCAAUGCCAUCAUUUUCAAUGUCCAUUGAAGUUUGGGAGUUUGAUUCACCAUACAAAUUUGCUUGACCAGCACGCCAAAUCAUUGCUGAUUCAGUAGCUAUAAGCAAAUAGGUGAGAUCAAUGAGGGUCACGUUGUGAUCCAUCAUAUAGUACUCUCUAACGAACUCACUAUAUGAUUUAGGAAGUGAUUGAAGAACCCAGUCAACAACCAAUAUCUCUGAGAUAUCGACACCCAACAUCCUUAACCUAAUAAUGUGUGACUUCAUCUCUAAGACGUGCGCACACAAAGACUUUCCAUCUUCAUGCUUAAUUGCCAAUAGGGCUUGAGUGAGCUUGAACUUUUCAAGCCUUCAAACUUGUGGGUUAGGAAGAACAAUUGGGGGAGGUGGAGGAAGUGAAGCAUAAUCUCUUGUUCCUCGAUCAUAUCGUGGAACAUCAUCUUCAUUUGGAAAGCUUGUUCCAUGAGAUUUAGGAAGACCAUGAUUGUCAGAACUAGACAUCUACAAAACGAGAGAAAAUUCUAGUUAGGUUAAUUAGAAUUAUUGAUGUAACACCCAAAUGAAACAUCAAGGCUAGGAUCCAACACAAUACUUUACAACCUAGAAGAGGGAUGCCGUAAUCUAGUCGCAGAAUAUUUGAAGGCAGGCAAAUGACGAUUUACCAAUUUCCACCAUGAAAAACGAAAAGGAAGUUUAAGUUUUAAAUGAAUUGAAACUCCUAGAUCUUUUGAGAUUCAUUGAACUUUUCAAUGAUAUUUUUAAAUCUCGAUUAUUCCCUUCUAUUUGUGACUGGGAUGCCGAGGAUCACAAAUAAGGUGUGAAUAACCAUACGAACCACAUGGUGCACCCAAUGCUACUAUCACCUAAUCUAUGUGCCGGUUAGCCACACAUGCUCCAUUGAUCUAUGAUAAGCAUCGAGCCACCCUUCACUACAAAUGUCAUCGCCAAAUUAGUGUGCCAGUUAACCACACACGCUCUACUAACGUUUGACAAGGGUACGAAGUGUAAUUCCAUGGACUAGCAUACAAUUUCACAUUUUGCCUAAAGUAACUAUGAUUUGGGAAUUUGUACAAGAAUUUAGUUACUUUUGUACUUCAUUAUACUUAUAAUGGAAGGUUUCUGUCCUAUCCUACCUUUUCGGCUAACAACCCUCCACUAGUCAAGAGUGCGGUGGGUAAGAGUGGAUACCCAUUCAAUUGCCAUUUUAUAGGCAAUUUCCUUAAACACCCCUUAUAGACCAGCUUCGUGAAUGAGGCCAGACUGACUUUUACUCAUAUAUAUAUAUAUAUAUAUAUAUAUAUAUAUAUAAUAUUAGACUUUUAAUGUUACACAUNNNNNNUAUAGGGUGUAUUUUACACUUUUAAAAUACUAGGUGGUCUAAUUUAAUAAAUUAUACUUUUAAUUUAAUUAAAUGCAAACCAAAAACUUUAUGUUUUUAUUAAAUCUCUUUUAAUUAUACACUUUAAUUAAUUAAUAAAACAUAAGGGUGUAAUUUGAACUUUUCAAAGUACUAGAGUUUUAGAAUUUAACAUUUCAAAAUUAAACUUUUAAUUAAAUUUUAAAUUCCAAAACUUGAGGGCAAGUUUUGAACAUUUCAAAACAUUAUGGUUCAACUAUUUAAAUUUCAAAACUAAAACUAUUUAGCUCAAAUUUAAACUAUGAAACCUAAAGGGUUAAUUUGAAACUUUUCCAAACUUUAUCAAGAACAUUCUAGAUCACAAAAUUCAAAUAAGGCAAUUAUCUAAUUUUGACCUAGUCCAAUUUCUUGCAAGAUAAUUCACCAAAUAAUUCAAAUAAUUAAAUUUUAUCAUAUAAGGAAAUAAUUAUUUAAUUAAUAUGAAGUUAUCAUUUAUUUUGGCAAGGAUAAUCACCCAAUAUCAUAAAAAUUUGCUUUAUAUCAAUAAAAAACGUUUUAGUAACUAUCCCACAACCAAAGAUGCACAAAAUCCCGAAAUUACCUUUUUCUGACCAGCUGACUCGUCGAGUCAAGCAUGGACUCGUCGAGUUCACCAUGGACUCGGCGAGUCCAGCCACCAGAAACCCUAAUUUUCUAUUUUAAGCAAGAAUAAUCCAUUAUAGCAUCAAAUUCACUAACAAACAACCCUAGUCUCUGAUACCACUGAUGAGUUUCGAGCAAUACAUCAAUCCUAUGGUGUACAUGAAAACCCUAAUAGCUUUUGGAUCUAGUUUGUCUAAUGAACAUGCAAUUGAAUAUCCAAAGCUAUAAACCCUAGAUCUAGCAUACAAUUAAUCAUAUUAACAUAAAAUAGGGUUUAGAUCUGACAUUUGAUUGUUAUAUAGCAAUAACAAUCAAUCCUUAGCUUCAGAAAGCUUAGUGCCUCAAGUGUUGCACCUCUAAUGGAGUCACAAACACCACUAAGCAACAAGAAUGAAGAGGAAAGAGAGGGAAGGCACCAAAAACGGCUGGAAACCCUAAUCCAAGUGUUAGCACCGUUUUUGGUGCAUAGACGGCCUUUAUAUACAUGUAGGCUAUUAGGGUUUACAAUUAGGAAACCCUAAUCUGGCUGCUUAAUCCCUAAGUAGCCCAUGGACUCCUUUAACAUAUCCCUUGGACGAAUUCUUAAUGGGAUUCCCAUAGAAUUCGUCCAACCUAUAUUAUUUAGGUAAUCCAUAGCCAAAUUGUAAUUAUCUUAUAAUUACAAAUCCAGUCCCCUAAGUUUAAUUAAUCUCUUUUAGCCACAAAAUUAAUUAUCAAUUAAUUCUUGACUAAUAUUAAUUAAACAAUAUGAUUUCUCUUUUAAUAUAUUAUUCUUAUAAUAUAUUAAUAAAUCACAAUUAAACCUUUCCCUCCUUAAUUCAUCCUACAUAUUGCUAUGGUGAAGGCAACCCAAAAGGACUAUGCUCAUAAUCGGGUCAAGUACAUACCAAAAUAGUUAUGGACUUAGACACUAAUCCAACAAUAAGCUUUAUACCUUCAAGAGCUUGAAAGGAUGAUGAAAAUUCUAGAUCUAGGAGCUUGAGCUUCUCCAACAUUCAAUGGAGGAAUUCUUCUUUUUCUAAGAGUACAAAAAUCCUACAAAAACACUUAAAGGUCACAAACUUUCAUUAAUGGUGGCUAGGGUUUCAAAUAAUUGCUUUUGGGUGAAAUGAGGCUGAGCAUGAAGAGGCCAAAAAGGGGAUAUACGGUGUUUAAAAGCGGGUCCAAACCCUAAAUUUAGGGUUUUGCACUCUGCAUGAGUACGCUAAGCGUACUCAUACGUACACCCAACGUACGCGAAAGAACCCACACCCAUAUUUAACGAGCCACGCUUAGCAUAACCAACCAUUACGCUUAGCGUAAUGGUUUUUCACAAAAAAAAUCAAUAUUUAAAGCUUUAGAAAUUUACCUCGGAAUCGCGUGUUACACUGAUGUUUCAUUAAACACUAUAUAAUAAGUAAUAGUCAUUUAGUAAGUGGUUCCUUUAUUAUUUCCUAUCACUAAGGUCCUUUGAACCAUCUUUGAUUCAUUACCCAAUUUUUAAGACAAAAAGAAUAUUGUAGUCUUUAUAUACAUCCUAUUUUUGAAACAAAAUAAUAUAUAUAUAUAUANAUAUAUUCUAGAUGGAAGUUAGGAACAAUAAUCUUUCCAAGUUUUCAGUUUUGGUCCUUUUAUUGGCUGAGAGACAACUUUGGUCCUUUUAUUUCUUCAACAUAAAACUAUCAUCAUAGUUCUGAAUAAUCAUAGUCAUUAUAUUUUCUUUGAACUAUAGAAUUGGACAUAAGGUAACUCAUUUUUGGCAAAUGAACACAACAAUUCUCCUUCAAACAAAAGCGGGUACCAAAUCAAAUACCUCACUAUUACUUUAAUAUGAAACUUAUUGUUAUCAGAUCAAAACCGGAUGCCAAAUAAGUCUCCAGCACCCACGUUGAUCUCUACGGUGGUAUUCAAUGGUCCAUGGAGCCGAAUGUUUGAUUUCCCAUUGAUUUGUGUUUAGAGGUGAUUUGAGUUCAGUGAAAAAUGGGUUUCAAGUCUAGGAUGGGUUUCAUGUCUAGGAUGUUUCUUGGGGCUUUAUUUGGAAUUGGGAUUAUGGUGGGUUGGCGCAGACAAAGAAGCAAAAUUCGUACUCCCAAGGUAAUUAGUUACCUCAUCAUCAAAUUUUUGUUAUGUUUGAUUAUUUUUUAUAUUGAGUUUGUCUAAAUUGUAAUAAUAGCUCAUUAUGGUUUCGUAUUAAGUAUUCACCUAUGACUUUGUUAUCUUAUUAGUUCUAAUGAUGACAUACAUUUGUUACGAUUUUAUUCGUUUUCACCAUUUAGCUGUAUUCUCUUUUUGUUUUCCAAUGUAACAAUCAAGUAGGAUCCACAACCUCAUCUUUCAUUUCUUUAAAAUUCCAAAAAGAUGAAAUGUUAAAAAAUACUUGAAGCCCUUCUGAUAUGUGGCAAGCAAGAUGGUGUUUGGAAAUGUGUUUUAAACUUGACAAUUAUAUAAUGAGUUAAUUUCUAUAGACAAAGACUCAAUGCACGUCUACUUUAUUUUUGUCGUUUGUUUGAAACUGCUUUUCAGUAUUGUACACAUUUGCUUUGUCAAGCUUUUAGGAACUAAUAAUAGCAAAAACAAUCGCAACGGAUAAAGAUAACUAUAAAGGAGCUAUUGAAGUCUCUUCAAAGAAUCAGUAAGUACCAUGAAGCUAUUUUUAAUUAUUUUUAUCUUAUGUUGUUUAUUUUUUUUAUGACAAUUCAUGUAAUAAUAGUGAUAAAUAAUACUUUUCGUUUUAUGAACACCAGGUUCAAAUUUGAAACAAUAAAUAACAAUGACAUUUUUAUAAAAAUCAAGUCCAAAUUUGAAAUGUAUACUUGAGGAUACACAAUAAAUAACAAUGACCUUUUUAUAAAAACCAAGUCCAAAUUUGAAACGUAUACUUGAUGAUACACAAUAAAUAACAAUGACCUUUUUAUAAAAACCAAGUCCAAAUUUGAAAUGUAUACUUGAUGAUACAUGUGCCGAAAUCGAUUCUUGCUCAUCAGAUUUUUGGGUGAUGGUUGCAACAUUGAAGGUAGUUUAAUUCUUCAUUUAUAUUUCAUUUUCCUUUAAUUCAUUUUUUGUUAAUUAAAUGAAAAAAAAUAUAUUUUAGGAGUUCAUUCGUAAUGAAGGUGGUGGUGAAUCAACAAUUAUAAGCAUUAUACUGAUUUUCCUUAAAUAAGAAUAUCCUACAUAAGUUGGAAAUGAACAGAAGGUAGUUGCAAUUGCAAAUGAUGAUGUUUUAGAUAAUUACUGAAAGGUACUACAUUGAUGAUUAUGCAUCUUAUAUCAUCAUGUAUACCAUUAUCACCUAUACGUAAUUUCUUAUCCUUUAUUGCAGCCACGUUCUUACGAUAUGCAUAUCAAAAGUGGAUGAAAAAAAAGAGGUCAAACCUUAGUUUGCAUUUAUGGCCAUUGGCCAUAAAGGUAUUCUUUUCAAAACGUUGUAGAACAUUUUCUUUAUGUACUAUAAACUCUGAAAGUUGUUAAAUGUUUAUAUCCCAUUGUAAAUUAGUGUUAAAAAACUAAUAUAAAAAAUCUUUAAAAAAAAAACGACCCAGACCUUUUUUAUUAAUUCCUUAUCGACUUAAUAUUUUGCUCCUCACAAUUUUACUGUUUAACGUCUCGAUCAUCAAAUACAACUUGUUGUCACGACAUCACGUGAUCUUUCACGAUCAUAAAAACUAAUUUAAUUUGAUGAACAAAUCGAAAACUUCAAUCACAGCUCUUACUAAAUUAUUAAAUACUGAGCCUGUAAAAGAUCAAAAUUGCCAGUUUUAAAGUCGAUUACACUACGAACGAAUAAUACAAAACUAUAAAUCGAAACAAAAAUCACAAAUCCCACAAUAAAAUUUUAAAAUUCAAACUUCAGUAAUUACAUCAGAAACAUAUAAAUCAAACCAUAAACAUGAAGAUGAACAUGGAGAAGAAACUGCAAAUCAUUUUUUAAUAUGCUUGGCCUAUAAAAUCGAAAACUGAUCGCGAUAGAAUCAAUUGAAUAUAAACAGGGUAGAGAAAUCAUUUGCGAAGGUGCUUGAUCUUAAACCAGCCUUUUUUGAGGGAAUUUGUAAUAGUCUUCCCCCCCUUACUGAAGAACCUCUUGAUCUCAUAACCUCUCAUCUUCGCUUGCGAUUCAAAACUACCCAUCGUUGUUGUUCUUGUUCUUGAAGGUUCGAGUUGGAAGAUUGGAGAGAGAAUGUGAAGGGAGCUUUUGUAGAACAAUGGAGAAAGGGGAUAUUUUUGAGAUAGUUUUUAUAAGAAACGCGGUCCAAUCAUAUUAAACCACGCCACGCGUUAUUCAUUGGUGCACAUCGUUUCCCACUUCGUCGACCUUAAUAAUGUAAGUCCACUUGUAGAAAACAGUUUGAUUUUAGACAAAACUUUAAAAAUGGUCCCCGUGGUUUUCGAAAAUAUCAAUUUUAGUUCUUAAGUUAAAAAAACCUCACAGAUGGUCCCUAUGGUUUCAAAACUUUUAAUAAAUGGUCAUUUUCGCUAACUCCGUUAGCUUUUAGCCGUUAAGUGAAGGGCAUUUCUGUCAUUUCACAAUCACAGAGACCAUUUAUGAAGUUUUGCCUCUUUUAAAAAAAAAAAGAAAAAAAAUAUAAUUUUUUAAUAUUAAAUGGUCUCUCUCUCUCUCUCUCUCUCUCUCUCCAUUAGACUGCCAAGACCUCUUCUCUCUCAUCUUCCUAUUCGAGUCCGGAAACUCGCUAAAGCCCGAUUAAGCAAGCGCGCCAUCGAGCGCCGGUCGUGGGCGAAGUUUGGUGAUGCCGUUCAUGAAGAAGUCGGUUCUCGGCUCACCAUGGUUUCGAACAAAGAGAUCUUGCUUGAACGACCUAGGGCUCCUGGUUUGUCUCUACCCUCUUAACAUUUUCUGUUAUCUCAUUGAUGAAGUAUGAAAUUUGUGUGUUCUUAUAUUUCCAUCGACAAUUCCACUGUCAAAUUCGUUUCAGUUUCAUGAAAUCAUAUACAUUCCUCUUCCUCCGAUUGCGAUAAAUUCAUCAGUCGAAUAUAAUUAUCGGAUUUGGUGUUAAACCUUGAAAAACCGAUCUGUAUAUUCAUUUCGCUUUUCAAAAUGGACUAAUUCUGUGUUUUUCGUGUUGAAAUUUUGAUAGGUUCGAAGGGAGAAGAAAAGGCUACCGGAGACGACUUAGGAUAGCUGAGCAAAGGCGGCGCUGUACUCAUGGUAUGCAAAACUUGUGGCAAAAAAGGCGAUCACUGGACAUCACAGAACUUGCUGCCAUGGUAGUAAAGAUUUUUGGGGGAUUUUGAUCUGGAUUUAGAUUUGGAUUUUGAAUUGGAUUUGGAUUUUGCAACUGUAAUUCUUGAAUUGGGUUUUCCUUUACCAUUUGAGGAAGAGUGUGAGGUUUGAUUUUGAUCUGGUUGGAUUUUGUUGAUGAUAUUUGUGAGGUGGAUGGAAACAGGGUGUUUUGUUUGUUCACUAGCAGUUAUGACCAUACUGGGGAAAGCUUUACUAUCUCGAUAUUGAUAGUUUAAUAAAUCGGUUGGAAAGUGGGGAAUAUAAGUCGUGCAUUGAAGGUGUUCGACGAAUUGCUUGAGAGAACAUUCAGAAUCUUGAGACACUGCAUCAGAUUUUCCAAUGAACGGAUCCCUUCAAAGUUUAGUGAGAGAGAGUGUGUGAUUGGGUUCUUGAUGGUCGUCGGUAGAGAGAGAGAGAGAGAGAGAGAGAGAGAGAGAGAGAGACCAUUUAAUAUUAAAUAAUUAUAUUUUUUUCUUUUUAAAAAAAAAAGAGGCAAAACUUCAUAAAUGGUCUCUGUGAUUGUGAAAUGACAGAAAUGUCUUUCACUUAACGGCUAAAAACUAACGGAGUUAGCGAAAAAGACCAUGUGUUAAAA